This 889-nucleotide ribosomal RNA is filed under the name Sphingobacterium thalpophilum. Its description in RNAcentral is "bacterial SSU rRNA". It matches the Rfam family "Bacterial small subunit ribosomal RNA", at positions 8 to 898 of the family's 1533-position model. Lineage: Bacteria; Pseudomonadati; Bacteroidota; Sphingobacteriia; Sphingobacteriales; Sphingobacteriaceae. The record is from RNAcentral.
AGAGUUUGAUCAUGGCUCAGGAUGAACGCUAGCGGCAGGCCUAAUACAUGCAAGUCGGACGGGAUCCAUUGAUAGCUUGCUAUCAAUGGUGAGAGUGGCGCACGGGUGCGUAACGCGUGAGCAACCUGCCUCCAUCAGGGGGAUAGCCUCUCGAAAGAGAGAUUAACACCGCAUAACAUAAUGUUCCGGCAUCGGAGGAUUAUUAAAUAUUUAUAGGAUGGAGAUGGGCUCGCGUGACAUUAGCUUGUUGGUGGGGUAACGGCCCACCAAGGCGACGAUGUCUAGGGGCUCUGAGAGGAGAAUCCCCCACACUGGUACUGAGACACGGACCAGACUCCUACGGGAGGCAGCAGUAAGGAAUAUUGGUCAAUGGGCGGAAGCCUGAACCAGCCAUGCCGCGUGCAGGAUGACUGCCCUAUGGGUUGUAAACUGCUUUUGUCCGGGAAUAAACCUCCUUACGUGUAGGGAGCUGAAUGUACCGGAAGAAUAAGGAUCGGCUAACUCCGUGCCAGCAGCCGCGGUAAUACGGAGGAUCCGAGCGUUAUCCGGAUUUAUUGGGUUUAAAGGGUGCGUAGGCGGCCCGUUAAGUCAGGGGUGAAAUACGGUGGCUCAACCAUCGCAGUGCCUUUGAUACUGACGGGCUUGAAUCCAUAUGAAGUGGGCGGAAUAAGACAAGUAGCGGUGAAAUGCAUAGAUAUGUCUUAGAACUCCGAUUGCGAAAGCAGCUCACUAAGCUGGGUAUUGACGCUGAUGCACGAAAGCGUGGGGAUCUAACAGGAUUAAUACCCUGGUAUUCACCCCUUAACCAUGAUAACUCCAUGUUGGCGAUAACAGCAGCGUCCCACGAAGCGUUAAUUUAUCCCCCUGGGGAAUCGCCCGCAAGGUUUAA